This 71-nucleotide transfer RNA is filed under the name Elimaea cheni. RNAcentral describes it as "tRNA-Val". It matches the Rfam family "tRNA". Rfam says of the family: Transfer RNA (tRNA) molecules are approximately 80 nucleotides in length. Lineage: Eukaryota; Metazoa; Arthropoda; Insecta; Orthoptera; Tettigoniidae. The record is from RNAcentral.
CAAAAUAAAGCUUAAAAGUUAAGUUUUUCAUUUACACUGAGAGGAUUUCUGUGCAAAUCAGAUUAUUUUGA